Molecule: long non-coding RNA, 1322 nt
Filed under: Equus caballus (horse)
Lineage: Eukaryota; Metazoa; Chordata; Mammalia; Perissodactyla; Equidae
Description: lncRNA (ENSECAG00000055570.1)
Source: RNAcentral
CAGCUUUUAAAUUUUUGGAGAUUGCUAAUUGGUAUGCAAACGUAUCUUUUUAUUUGCUGACAUCUCAGUCAAAUCAGGAUCUUGAAUCAAAGAAGCAAAAGCCUAUAAGUCUUCCCUAUUAUCUUCCCUGUAAAUAAUAGAUUUCCUGCUUUAAUUUACCUGGGGGCAUAAACACAACAAGGAAAGGCAAAGACCUGCCCUUCCUUGGUCUGUUCUACCUAAUAAAGUGGCGUUUACCUGGGACCUCCAAGAGUUAGCCUCUAUUGUGUCUUCCAAAGGAAAGAGAAUAGAUUGUCCUCUGGGCUGAUAUAAACGGGAAGACAGCAGCUGUAUGUGACCUUGUGUUCUGAUAUGGUUCUGGCAUUGGGACAGAAUCUUUUUGGUAGCCUGUCUUUGUCACUUUCUAGCAAGUACAGAGACUAAGCACCUGGGCCUAAGACUCAAGCAAUCCACAAGAUUCCAGACCUCCUUGAGGGUAGGAAAAGGGGUCCCAAUAUUCUCAGCAUUUGAUUAUCACUCUUAGAUGGGCUUCAGAGUUCAGUUAAUGAGCAGACACCACGCCAGGAAGAGAUACAUGAGCCUAGAUCUCAGAGGGUAUGUACUCUGAAGCUGAAAUCAUAAACCAGAACAUCUGACGUGUGUCUCAUACACAAUGAGGGAGGGAGGAUUGCUGAUGGAAAUGUCACACGCAGCUGCUUUUAGCACUUGGCUCUCGCGGAUCGAGCUUCCCCUUCUGCCACUACACCCCACCCUCUUCCUGGAAGAAAGCCGUUUAGGGUUCUUUAGUUCUCAUCCUGCAUGCUGUGAAAACAGCUGUAAAUUUCUAUCUGUCACAUGGGUAUAGUUCAUGGCUGGUAGAUGUACCUGAUGGGCUAUAGAAAUGACUGGCUCAGCUCCUGUUGGGCUCAGGAAAGAGAGUCUACCUGAGAGAAUCAGUUGUGUGCCCCACCCUGAAAGGUUUUGAUGCCUGUGCUUUCUUCAUCUUACCAAAAGCUGUCAAUGGAAGAUUUCAGGCAACAGGACGAUCUCAAGAAUCUGCCCGGGCCAGGAAGAUUAGCCCUGAGCUAACUGCUGCCAAUCCUCCUCCUUUUGCUGAAGAAGACUGGCCCUGAGCUAACAUCCAUGCCCGUCUUCCUCUACUUUAUACGUGGGAUGCCUACCACAGCGUGGCUUGCCAAGCUGUGCCAUGUCUGCACCCGGGAUCCGAACUGGCGAACCCCGGGCCGCCGAAGCCGAAUGUGCAAACUUAACCCCUGUGCCACGGGGCUGGCUCCCAAUAAUCACUUCUUGAGUGCUACAUAUUAAGUGCUGGCAGAGGGUAC